Molecule: ribosomal RNA, 482 nt
Filed under: uncultured bacterium
Lineage: Bacteria
Description: partial 16S ribosomal RNA
Rfam family: Bacterial small subunit ribosomal RNA
Source: RNAcentral
AUUGAACGCUGGCGGCAUGCCUUACACAUGCAAGUCGAACGGUAACGGGCCUUCGGGUGCCGACGAGUGGCGAACGGGUGAGUAAUACAUCGGAACGUGCCCGAUCGUGGGGGAUAACGAGGCGAAAGCUUUGCUAAUACCGCAUACGAUCUACGGAUGAAAGCAGGGGACCGCAAGGCCUUGCGCGGACGGAGCGGCCGAUGGCAGGUUAGGUAGUUGGUGGGAUAAAAGCUUACCAAGCCGACGAUCGUUAGCUGGUCUGAGAGGAUGAGUAGCCACACUGGGACUGAGACACGGCCCAGACUCCUACGGGAGGCAGAAGUGGGGAAUUUUGGACAAUGGGCGCAAGCCUGAUCCAGCCAUGCCGCGUGCAGGAUGAAGGCCUUCGGGUUGUAAACUGCUUUUGUACGGAACGAAAAGCCUUCUUUUAAUACAGGAGGGUCAUGACGGUACCGUAAGAAUAAGCACCGGCUAACUACGUG